This 73-nucleotide transfer RNA is filed under the name Camelus ferus (Wild Bactrian camel). It matches the Rfam family "tRNA". Rfam says of the family: Transfer RNA (tRNA) molecules are approximately 80 nucleotides in length. The record is from Rfam by way of RNAcentral. Lineage: Eukaryota; Metazoa; Chordata; Mammalia; Artiodactyla; Camelidae.
GAGGGUACAGCUCAGUGGUAGAGCUCAUGCUUAGCAUGCACGAAGUUCUGGGUUCAAACUCCAAGUACCUCCA